Molecule: long non-coding RNA, 464 nt
Filed under: Arachis ipaensis
Lineage: Eukaryota; Viridiplantae; Streptophyta; Magnoliopsida; Fabales; Fabaceae
Description: long non-coding RNA (AIPA_LNC002246)
Source: RNAcentral
CGCACAUAACUAUUUUCCAAUCCAAUUAUCACUAUACAAUUGAGGAACUUAAUUUAAAAACCAAUACAAAGGAAACAACCAGAAAUUAAAAUUUGGUUCUUCAAGAAGACGAGAACCAAGAAAACUGAGCUAACAGAUUCCGAUGAAUUUACACAAGCAUGGAAUUUAACAUUCCACAUCAAGAGCCCAACAAAUAAGGAAAGAAAAAAAAACUGUUAUGUCACCGGAAAACACUCAAAGCCAGACAGAAGCAUAACUGUCAAAGGCAUCGUCCGAACAACAGAAAAACCGAACUGGAAAACCUCUAAUCACAAACCCUGGGACCAUGUGCUUGACAUAUUUUCACUGUUUCACACCCUUUGUUUUGGUGGUGCUAUCAAAUUCUGCAACAUUUUAGCUCUCCACUACCACCACCACCUCAUUGCUUUUUUUCAUGUACCUUAUUUAUACUGUCUCUUUUCUCA